This is a non-coding RNA of Pelobates cultripes (western spadefoot toad), 215 nucleotides long. The record is from the annotation of a GenBank genome assembly. NCBI's taxonomy places the organism in Eukaryota, Metazoa, Chordata, Amphibia, Anura, Pelobatidae.
GUGACUAGUGACAGAGUGAGGAAGGGGGUGACACAGUGACAGAGUGAGGGAGGGGGUGACUAGUGACAGAGUGAAGGAGGUGGUGACUGUCACUAGUCACCCCCUUCCCUCCCUCACUCUGUCACUAGUCACCCCUCCCUCUCUCUGUCACUAGUCACCCCUUCCUCACUUUGUCACUAGUCACCCCUUCCCUCCCUAACUCUGUCACUAGUCAC